Molecule: long non-coding RNA, 3382 nt
Organism: Esox lucius (northern pike)
Lineage: Eukaryota; Metazoa; Chordata; Actinopteri; Esociformes; Esocidae
Source: Ensembl
CCACACACACUCUCCACACACACAUGCCCACCCCACACACUCUACCGACUGUCACUGAAAGCUGCAAUGAACCAACACUGUGGUGAUGAAACCCCACACUCCCCAGGAUUAUCAAAUAAUUGCCUUGGUUUUCUGAGAGCUUCUCUGAAUUUAAAAAAUGUGUUGUCACAAGGCCUAAUCCUGCACUGGAGGAGAGAAUGGGCAGGAAGAGGGGUGAGAAAGAGGAUGGAGACAGGGGGAGUUGUUUAUUAAAUGCCCUUGGAAAAAACAGCACAAUCUUCAAGCAGAAAACCAUGAAGACGCUUAGAUAACGACAAAAAGCUGAAGAAAGAUGAAAGAACCCAGGAAGGGAGUGAGAGAAUGACAGAUGAGAGGAACUUAGGGAGAAAGAAAGGGAGUGGGAGAGAGAGAAAUAGAUGGAGGGAACAGAGAAUUCAUCAGUGUCUUGACAGGGUCUGAUUGCAGUUUCUGACACAGCAAUGAGUUCAGUCAGUUGGAAAAGCCAAGCAACGUCUGUCUGGAACACCAUGUUACACUCCAAUUCUGAAUGGAGGCACUACCUCAAGAGAAUGUUGCAAUAUGGCCAGACAAAUAUAUAUACACCCAUCAGCCAUAACAUUAUGACCACCUGCCUAAUAUUGUGUGGGUAGGUGGCACAUAAGUAACAUCCACAUGAAUGGCCGGACCCAAGGUUUCCUAGCAGAACAUUGCCCAAAAGCAUCACACUGCCUCUGCUGGCUUGUAUUCUUCCCAUAGUGCAUCCUGGUGCCAUGUGUUCUCCAGGUACACAAAACACACGCACCCGGCCAUCCAUGUGAUGUAAAAGAAAAUAUGAUUCAUCAGACCAGGCCACCUUUUUCCAUUGCUCCGUGGUCCAGUUCUGAAUGCUCAUGUGCCCAUUAUAGGAGCUUUCGGCAGUGGACAGGGGUCAACAUGGGCACCCUGACUGAUCUGCGGCUACACAGCCCCAUAAACAACAAACGGCGAUGCAUUGUGUUCUGAUACCUUUCUAUCAGUACCAGCAUUAACCUUUCCUGUAAUUUAAGCUGAAAAAUCCAACAGUAGCUCUUCUGUUGGAUUGGACCACACGGGCCAGCCUUUGCUCCCCACGUGCAUCAAUGAGCCUUGGCCGCCCAUGACCCUGUCGCUGGUUCCCCCCUUUUGCUUCCUGGAACACUUUUGAUAGGUACUGACCACUGCGGGUCUGCAGUUUUGGAGAUGCUCUGACCCAGUCGUCUAGCCGUCACAGUUCGGCCCUUGUCAAGUCGCUCAGGUCCUUAAGAUUACCCAUUUUUCCUGCUUCUAACACAUCAACUUCGAGGACAGAAUGUUCUCUCACUGCCUAUUAUAUCCCACCCACUGACAGGUGCCAUGACAACUAGAUUAUCAGUGUUAUUCACUUCACCUGUCAGCGGUCAUAAUGUGAUGGCUGAUCGGUGUACGUCGAAUGUUAUGUUAGUAAUCAUAAUGUUAAUUUGGGUUGUGAUAAUGUUAGUCAUCAUAAUGUUAAUUUGUUGUGAUAAUGUUAGUAAACAUAAUGUUAAUUAGUGUAGUGAUAAUAUAAAUAGCUAAUGAUAUGUGUAAUUAACCAUAUAUCUUGUAUGUUAAUCAGUAAGGGCAUGUGUAAUGAUGUUAAUAGGUAAUGUCUGGCGAUAUGUUACGGUAAUGUAAUAUUGUAUCCUAACAGGAUCCGUCAUUCAGUUGAACUAACUCUUUACAUUAUAAAUGCAUUCAGUUUGUGUCGUUGUUUGGCAAGCAUUCAGUGAAGAGCACCUCCACGUUGGUCCGCUGAUGGUUCUAUAGUUCUACAUAGUUCUAUAGGCUGUUGGUUUUCUACUGGGAUCAAGUAUUACAGCUGUCUGCAAUAACCAUUACAGUUUGGUUCAUAUUUCUUGAUAUUCACGCCACUGUGUCCUGCCAGGGUCCUGUUUACUCUGUUUACACAGAACCAACUCAUUCAAAGCAAUGCCCCAUUUCUUAGACGACAAAACUUAAAUUCCAGACCCCCUAUAGGACUGCUUUCCCACAGCUCAGACACACUGACUGAUUGUUUUCUUUGUGUCCCAUUCAUCCCACACCUGCCAAGAGGAUCGCCUACACAGCAGGGUUCAGAUGUCUCACACACACACACACACACUCAGGAUCAGAGAACACCCCAUACACAGCGGUCAGAGGUAAAGAUAUACCGUCUCAUUGACUUCUAUUGUCCAGUCUGUUUCUGAUGUGUUUUUCUUGUGUAUUUGUGUGUGUGUGUUUGUGUUUAUGUGUUGUGUGUGUGUGUGUGUGUCAAAUUACCAGUAAACACAUCAUCCUUACAAAAUGUCACAUUGUUUUGUCCUUGUCUUCAGUUCCCAAAAGACAUUGAUCAAUGAAAGCGAUAGUUACCAGGGGCUUAGAAAUAACAGAAGGCCAUUCAAACUGUCAGAACAGGACAGGACUGUUCACUGUUUUAAACCCAUGAAUAGUUGUGUGUGUGUGUGUUAGGUAACAGUGAUGUAUGUUGAAGCCUCCUGAAUAAAUCCUCUAAACACAAAGCAUGCAUCCCCAAAGGAACCCUAUUCCCUAUCUAGUGCACUACUUCUGAAAGGUCAAGUCCUUGGUGAAAGCAAACAGGUAUCAGUGUGGCUGGAUGAAAGGAGGCUAACAUAGAGACCUUGUUGACAAGAAUUACUAACGACAAUGGAAGCAGAACAGAUGUCUCUAACGUCAUCUCCUCGUGUGGCGGUCACAUCCUCUCUCCAUCAGGCGUCACAUCCUCUCUCCAUCAGGCGUCACAUCCUCUCUCCAUCAGGUGUCACAUCCUCUCUUCGUCAGGCGUCCACAUCCUCUCUUCAUCAGGCGUCAGGUCACCUCUUCAUCAGGUGUCAGAUCACCUCUUCAUCAGGCGUCAGGUCACCUCUUCAUCAGGCGUCAGGUCACCUCUUCACCAGGGACAGAGAGGGACAGGGACAGAGAGGGACAGGGAUAGAAAGGGAAAGAGACAGCUGAGGGACAGGGACAGAGAGGGACAGGGUCAGAGAGGGACAGGGAUAGAAAGGGAAAGGGACAGCUGAGAGACAGGGACAGAGAGGGACAGGGUCAGAGAGGGAGACACAGGAGAAUUAGGGGGACCAUACAUAAGGUCAACAGAACACCAGAUAAGACAAAAUAAAUGACACGGAAUAGGACAGACUAAUCCUACCUCUACAUUACACUGCUUAAAAAUUACUCCGGCACAAAAUGUUGACAACUAACUACCAUGAGGCAAGGCCGAGUGUUGCUCAAAAAGACUUCUUCCAUGACACGCCAAGAGGAUGCAAAGCAUACGAAACGUUCAUGUCAGUGACUCAUCUCACUUACCCUUGAAGCAAAAAGCCUGGCAUGACCUAAAGUAUCCUCUUGC